RNAcentral lists this ribosomal RNA (232 nucleotides) under uncultured bacterium. Its description in RNAcentral is "partial 16S ribosomal RNA". It matches the Rfam family "Bacterial small subunit ribosomal RNA", at positions 118 to 347 of the family's 1533-position model. The record is from RNAcentral.
UGAGUAACCUGCCCUUAACUCUGGGAUAAGCCUGGGAAACUGGGUCUAAUACCGGAUAUGACUCCUCAUCGCAUGGUGGGGGGUGGAAAGCUUUUUGUGGUUUUGGAUGGACUCGCGGCCUAUCAGCUUGUUGGUGAGGUAAUGGCUCACCAAGGCGAUGACGGGUAGCCGGCCUGAGAGGGUGACCGGCCACACUGGGACUGAGACACGGCCCAGACUCCUACGGGAGCAG